This 293-nucleotide long non-coding RNA is filed under the name Hordeum vulgare. RNAcentral describes it as "long non-coding RNA (HVUL_LNC000643)". Lineage: Eukaryota; Viridiplantae; Streptophyta; Magnoliopsida; Poales; Poaceae. The record is from RNAcentral.
UUGCAAAUUAGUUGUAUAUAUUUCAUUUCAGUAGCACAUCACAUGAAUUACAAUACAUCAUCCAUCGACUCCUCUACACAUAAAGGUUCAAGGCCCAACAAGUGCACGACAAAAUAGUUCUACAAGUACAGGUGUACAGAAAAAGGACCCAACAAGUGCAUAAUCACACAUCAACAUAGUUCGACAAAGAUUGAAUGAGAAGCACAAGUUUUUGUUGAUCACACAUAACAUCAAUGAUAAACAAAUCUUCUUGUUCCCUCCUCCCGUCCUGUCCUCUACUUCUUCUGGGUGCU